CCAAUUCCUACAGCACUAUUUAUUGAAAUCUAUUUACCAUCGCUGAACUGCUUUUGCAUCUUGUCAAAAAUCAGUUGGUCAUAUUUGUGGCUUCAGGUGGCUGACCUUUGUGGAUUGUAUUAACUGCCUUCUGGCAGUUGGGCUCAACUUAAUUGUACGCCAUGCCAAGAGACAAGAGGGCUGGGUGAGGAUCUACUCAGUAAAUCUAGCCUACAAAAGAUAGGCUAUAGAGGAAGAACCUGCUCAGGAGGACAGAGGAAGCCCAGAUCUACUGGAAGGAAUGGGGAGGUGUCCGAAGGGCCAGUAAUGACAAGGGCCAACCUGUCCAGGUGAGAAGAGCGGGUUACUAUGGAAACAAGUCAUUCUGUAUUAUUAAAUGAUCGGUGCAUUAGGUGGGCAGAACUGGCUGCGAUCAGAGCUGCGUGUGGAAGAUUCCAACUCACUGUCAAGGAGAACACCUGUUAGCAGAGAAAGUGAGAAAGCACCACAGGGUAGAAGUUUAAUAUUUGUAUCUCUGCCUGAGUCAUCUCAAAAAAAAGAAAAAAGAUAUGAGGUUCUUCUCUUCCUCACGAUGGAGUUUUCCCUGGCAUUACACUGGGAUCAAAACCAAGCCCAGACAGCUGCUUUGUGUCCUCUCCCCAAGUUACUUUUGUUAAUUCCUGGUAAUUAAAAUGAGGAUUGCCUUUUAGGAAAAGCUGAAACCUCAGCAAAAAAAAAAAAAAAAAAAAAAAAAAAA
Long non-coding RNA from Piliocolobus tephrosceles (Ugandan red Colobus), 736 nucleotides. RefSeq lists it as uncharacterized. NCBI's taxonomy places the organism in Eukaryota, Metazoa, Chordata, Mammalia, Primates, Cercopithecidae. The record is from RefSeq and is a predicted model, not a curated record. The transcript is spliced from 3 exons.